RNAcentral lists this long non-coding RNA (367 nucleotides) under Canis lupus dingo (dingo). RNAcentral's name for it is "lncRNA (ENSCAFG00020006530.1)". The record is from RNAcentral. Lineage: Eukaryota; Metazoa; Chordata; Mammalia; Carnivora; Canidae.
CGGGCAGCGCCGAGUGCGGCGGGGCCCGAGGAUGGUGCGGUGAUGGGGACCGCCGGGCUGCCGGGCUGGGGGUGCUGCUGGGUCCCUCUUCCUCUUUGCUUUCGGUUUCGAAGCGGCUGCCCCGGCUGGAGAGCGAGCCGCAGAUUAGAAGGAGGAGCAGCUCCUUCCUCAUUCACUUAACUGAUACAUAAGCAAGCGGAUUCUUGCAAAAACUUCUCUGCUUUACUUGGACACAGUGGGGCAUAAAAAAGAAGGCUCGUGCCCUCUUGGUAUCGUUAAGGAGCCUACGAUAGAGUCGGGAUACCAAACUUGGACCCACUGAAAGGUAAAGGGCAGAUAAGUUGUCAACGCUGUGACCCCACUGGGC